UACGUAGGGGGCAAGCGUUGUCCGGAAUCAUAGGGCGUAAAGAGCGUGUAGGCGGCCCGAUAAGUCCGCCGUGAAAGUCCAGGGCUCAACCCUGGAAUGCCGGUGGAAACUGUCGGGCUGGAGUCCGGAAGAGGCGAGUGGAAUUCCUGGUGUAGCGGUGAAAUGCGCAGAUAUCAGGAGGAACACCAAUGGCGAAGGCAGCUCGCUGGGACGGUACUGACGCUGAGACGCGAAAGCGUGGGGAGCAAACAGG
RNAcentral lists this ribosomal RNA (253 nucleotides) under uncultured bacterium. RNAcentral describes it as "partial 16S ribosomal RNA". It matches the Rfam family "Bacterial small subunit ribosomal RNA", at positions 524 to 776 of the family's 1533-position model. The record is from RNAcentral.